Girardinichthys multiradiatus is the source of this 2074-nucleotide long non-coding RNA. RefSeq lists it as uncharacterized. The record is from RefSeq and is a predicted model, not a curated record. NCBI's taxonomy places the organism in Eukaryota, Metazoa, Chordata, Actinopteri, Cyprinodontiformes, Goodeidae. The transcript has 3 exons.
CUGAAGAAAUGCAAGCAGAGAAACCAGUGCACCCAUGGCCAUAUCUUAGCUCGAUGUUUGAGAUUUCAGGAGUCAAAAAUAAUUCCUAUCUGUUUAAAUGUAUUCUCUGUUUGCCACGGAUAAACUACAUUUCUGCGUUUAAGAACUCACCAUCCAACCUGAGAAAGCACAUCGAGGGUCAUCCAAUAGAGAUUGGGAAUGGAAAACAAUAAAGAUCAAAAUGCAACCGGCACCAAGGGGGGUAAAUGCAGCUGCAUCAUUGUCCAGAAAGAGUUCUGCGGUGCGAGGUGUAUGUGAAAAUGUCUACACUGGCUUUUGGAAGGUCACUUUGGGAGGGUGCGGUGCAUCACAGAGAAACCAGGAGUGUCCAAUGCAGGUAAAAGCCAGUGAACCAAGGUGACCUAUAGCAACAGCUCAUCUCCAAUGACAGAAACCGUAUCAGCUAGAAACGUGCUCCUGCAUUUAAAGUGAUAGUUCAUUAUUUUUGAAGUGAGGUUCUGUUAAAAGCUUAUAAGCACUUAGUACCUUAGCUGCAGUAGAUAACUUCCACUGCCUCUUAAUUUUGUAUAAAUUCAGGUUAGUUGGUCCAGGUGGGACCAAAACAUCUUUCUUCUGGAGUCUUUCAGAACUCCAAGCCCAAAAGCAUUACAAGAGUUUGAGUAAUUGCUAUUUUAUGAAGUUAAAAACUGUUUAUGUUUACAUUAUGUUUGCAUGGGUGGUUACUUAUGAAAAAAGAGAAUAUCUUUUACACUGGUAAAUGGGAUAGCAGGCAGUGUGCACUUAAGUGUUUUUGGUCAGAGAGUAACUGUCCAAUGUAAAAAGGUUAAGUGGUAUGAAAAUCUAAAAUACUAUUGAGGUUUAUGUGUAGGCUAUUUUUACGAUUUUUACACUGCAUUUUUUUAUUAGGUUUUAACUCUUGCCGAAAACAUAAAUGGUGAUUUCAUUUAAUCCAAAAUAAAACAAUAUAAACAUAGAUACACUUUAAACUUUAAAGUUCUGCUUUUAAACUGCUGCAUCUUUCAGAUUCUUCACUAACCUAUCCUGAUCACAUCUCCUUCUUUACAUCCAUGAUGAGCAACGGGCUCAUGAAUGAAUCAAGAGAAAGGUUUGAGAGAAGAAGGAUAGAUAGGACUGGGGGAUGGCGGAAAGGUGGAAUAGGAGAUCCCCAUGAGGCGGCACAAAAUAAACCAACUCCGAUCGAUUGCAAAGACAGGUCGAUUAGCCCUGAAACAGCAAGCUGGCUUUCACCCCCAGGGCAGCACUACGUCUCCCCUCUCUCCUGACUUGUACAAGGAACUGAAAAUCCUGCAGCUCACACCAAAAUACGUUGCUUCUGGUAUCACAUUUUAAAGGGAGUGAUUGUUAGUUACAGCUAAGUAUUUACUUUACAGUCUUUUCAGACAGUUUGGAUACAAAGAAACAUGUUAUGGCCACACCUGCAACCACACAGUUGGUAACCCCACACACCAACACUUUUUCAUUUUGAGUUUUCAUAUACACAUUCACUGCAGCAUAAAUACAUUUUGGUUUAUAUUUUCUUUUGACAAUAUUGAAAUACAUUAGUUCUAAUUAUAGCGCCCACAUUUGAUUAACUUUUGUAUACUUAAUUUUGUCAAAUAUUAAAAAAAAUGUUGUGCUUUCUUUGCUGGUGCUGUGGGGGAGUACCUUGAACUCCAGCAAUGGACUCUGGCUGGCACACUCCAAUCCCAGAUUGACUGAUUGGGUGAUACCAUCUGGAGCUCCACCAUGGGGGAAGACCAUGGAGUCAUUAUUCUAAUUUUUGCUUAAGUUCUCUUUGCCUGUGGGAUUUGUUUAUUUUGGUUAGUUAUUAGUCAUUCAAGUUAAUUUUUAAGCUGGCUGUGUUUAGUUAUUUUUGUUAGUUAAAUUUCUGUAGAUGUUUUCCUUCCUUCUUCCUCAGUGCGUCAGUCUGGUCUGAUCAGCCAGCAUUUAAAUCACCUUUGUUUGUUGUGUGAGAGGUCAGUUUAUUUGUUUUGAGCAGUUUGUUUGAGGUUUUGUUAUGUUAAACCCUGAUUUUUUGUCUUGAGUUUAGCUUCUUCAUUGGACCUCUUUUAAG